This 423-nucleotide ribosomal RNA is filed under the name uncultured bacterium. RNAcentral describes it as "bacterial SSU rRNA". It matches the Rfam family "Bacterial small subunit ribosomal RNA", at positions 87 to 507 of the family's 1533-position model. The record is from RNAcentral.
GCUGACGAGUGGCGGACGGUGAGUAAUGUCUGGGAAACUGCCUGAUGGAGGGGGAUAACUACUGGAAACGGUAGCUAAUACCGCAUAACGUCGCAAGACCAAGAGGGGGACCUUCGGGCCUCUUGCCAUCGGAUGUGCCCAGAUGGGAGUUAGCUAGUAGGUGGGGUAACGGCUCACCUAGGCGACGAUCCCUAGCUGGUCUGAGAGGAUGACCAGCCACACUGGAACUGAGACACGGUCCAGACUCCUACGGGAGGCAGCAGUGGGGAAUAUUGCACAAUGGGCGCAAGCCUGAUGCAGCCAUGCCGCGUGUAUGAAGAAGGCCUUCGGGUUGUAAAGUACUUUCAGCGGGGAGGAAGGGAGUAAAGUUAAUACCUUUGCUCAUUGACGUUACCCGCAGAAGAAGCACCGGCUAACUCCGUG